This is an unclassified non-coding RNA of Cricetulus griseus (Chinese hamster), 95 nucleotides long. NCBI's taxonomy places the organism in Eukaryota, Metazoa, Chordata, Mammalia, Rodentia, Cricetidae. The record is from Ensembl.
CAGGACAGGUACAGCACAGGCAGCGACAGUGUGAGCUUUCCCCACACCACCCCGUCCAUAUGCCUCAACCCUGACUUGGAGGGACCACCUCUAGA